ACGCAUGCACGUGCACACGCACACAGGUGUGUGUACACCUCUACCCACCUAUGCAUGGCCAAACCCUAUUUUUUUUCUCAAAGCCUAAUUCAAUUGUCUUCUUGUCUAGGAAGACUUCUCACAUCUCACCUGACUAUAAUAGCUUUCUAAACUCUAUAGGGACCUUAUAUUUCUUUUCAUAUUUAGCAUAGAUUUGAGUCUAUUCUGUACACAUCAUCUUCCAGGGAGACGGAGUUUCUAGAGGCUGCCCAUGUGGGAUGCAUCCCUGAGCCUCUGGGGGUUGGUCUUACAGGCUACUCACAGUCACUGGAAGGUGGGUGUCACCCGCAGUCCUGAUCAUUGCUUAGAAAGAGGGAGGGAGGCAAUUAAGAGAGAAAGAAUGGGAACAAGAAGAGGAGGAAAGAUACGGUGAAAGGCGAAAAAAAGGCAGUUGGCAUUGAGAAUUCUUUGCCUUUUUUUUUUUUUUAGCUAUUUCUUGGGCCACUCCCGCGGCAUAUGGAGGUUCUCAGGCUAGGGGUCGAAUCGGAGCUGUAGCUGCCAGCCUACACCAGAGCCACAGCAACGCGGGAUCCGAGCCACGUCUGCAACCUACACCACAGCUCAUGGCAAUGCCGGAUCCUUAACCCACUGAGCAAGGGCAGGGACCAAACCCGCAACCUCAUGGUUCCUAGUUGGAUUCAUUAACCACUUCGCCACGACGGGAACUCUGGCAUUGAGAAUUCUAAACAGAACUGCUUGGUGUGACUCUGAAAAGUUCUGUUACGGAAUCCAAGCUCCCACUGCUCACCGCUCUACUACUGAGAGACGAAGCGUUAGGACAAGGAGUGGCAACUUUGUUUGGGAAGCCAGUAGAUCGAGAAGGUGGAAGACUGGUGUCCCAAAGAACCAUCUUUCCUGAAUCCGAAUUCAGGCUUUUUUUUUUUAUACUAAGGGAGGGGGGCAUGGUGAAGACAAACAUUUCCUGGUCCUGGCCAGACUCUGGAGAGGAUGUGUUCAUUUCUUCCUGCAGCCAUUCCCAGGUGGACCUGGUCAGGAUGUUUCCUGGGAGCUAAACGAAGACCUUUUAGCUCAAUGCUCAAUACAUGGGAGACAGGGUUCCCAGAGAUGGGCUAUUUUGUAUAAUUUAAGCUUACAGGCAAGAUCCCUUUAGCGAGAACUUGUAGCAAAAGCAAUAGAAUAAAAAGGUUAAAGGAGGAAAACAGGUCCAAUAUGGAGUAGGAGUUGCUCUUCGCAAUUACGGUUCCCUCCCCCAAGGGGUAAGAGUAAUAAUGUUUGCUGACUGCUCGCUAUUGACAGCCGCUCUUGUAAGUAAUUUGCAUAUAAGAAGCUUAUCUAAUCCACCAAUACCCUUGAGAGAGAAUUAGUAUUUCCUGCAACUUUAGGUGAGGACACAAAGGCACCAAGAGGUUAAUAUUUUCCCUAUGGUCCUGUAGGGGCCAGAUUUCAGAACUGGUGUUUGAGCCCAAGAAAUCUGAGACCACAGUCCAGGCUCUUAACACAGAAGGACCAAGACGACAGCAAGCCUGGCUGAAGGAGAUGAACAGCUCAGGUUCGAAGUUCCAAUCCCUACCCUGGAAGGAGUUAAGGAGAUGACAAAUCAGGGCGACAAUGCUGUGACCAACACAGGCCACCGUUCUGAACCACCAGGUAAUGAAGUCAUCCAUCUCUGUGAAAAGCCCCCCAGGGAUUUGUACAGGCAAGCGGUCCCCAGCCCUGGCUGCACAUAAGCAUCGCCUAGGGAGUUCUUACCAAGCCCUGUUGCCUGGGCCUCAUGCCAGGUUGACUGAAUCAGAACCUCUUGGGGUGGGGACUGGUAUCCAUAACUUUUUAGAGCUCCCUAGGGGAUUCGAACGUGCGGCCUGGACUGGGAACCAGGAUGCAGCUAAGUGUGAAGGGGCCAUGGCUGAGUGGAGAGCCAACCUGGCCCAGCAGGUGAAAUCCUUGCCUGUAGGCUGCUAAGACAUUUUCACAAAGGCUUUUCAGCCCACAAGCACCUGGAGGAGAGGCACCCUGGCCCCCACAAUUAUGCUGCCAUCAUCUCUGGCUCCUCUUGAAAGCGACAGCUGAGUCAUAGAAUCAGGGGGCUGGCUGGUACCCCACUGAUCAUUAUGCUUGGCGACAUUGCAAUGGUCUGCAGAAUUCUAGGCGUCUGGGUAAUGGCCAAAUCUCUACCUUC
This 2176-nucleotide long non-coding RNA is filed under the name Sus scrofa (pig). RNAcentral describes it as "lncRNA (ENSSSCG00005013515.1)". Lineage: Eukaryota; Metazoa; Chordata; Mammalia; Artiodactyla; Suidae. The record is from RNAcentral.